UUGAGACAUUGGUUCCCAUACGACCACCAAAGUUAAGCAAUGUUGAGCCUGGUCAGUACCUCAAUGGAUGACCACUUGGUAAUAACAAGUGCUGUAAG
Molecule: non-coding RNA, 98 nt
Organism: Acanthosepion pharaonis
Lineage: Eukaryota; Metazoa; Mollusca; Cephalopoda; Sepiida; Sepiidae
Source: the annotation of a GenBank genome assembly